Molecule: long non-coding RNA, 153 nt
Organism: Aquila chrysaetos chrysaetos
Lineage: Eukaryota; Metazoa; Chordata; Aves; Accipitriformes; Accipitridae
Exons: 2
Source: RefSeq, a predicted model, not a curated record
ACAGGAGUGAUAAAACUGUACUCUAAUGCUUUUUCCAGGGAACACAACAACUCUGGAAUGACUGCUUCAUCUCUAGGAAGUCUUCAAAUAUCAGAAGAAUCAAGUCUACUGAGAGCAUACAGCAGAAAGCUUAACUGCACAGUUGCAGAACAG